GAUGAACGCUAGCGGUGUGCCUAAUGCAUGCAAGUCGAACGGGAUCCUUGGAUUCGUCUAAGGUGAGAGUGGCGAACGGGUGAGUAACACGUUGGUGACCAACCCCAAAGAGAGGGACAACCAUUGGAAACGAUGGCUAAUACCUCGGAUGUAUUACCAUUUAGAAAAGUAAUACUAAAGCUCCGGCGCUUUGGGAGGGGCCUGCGGUCCAUCAGCUAGUUGGUAAGGUAAUGGCUUACCAAGGCGAAGACGGAUAGGGGGCGUGAGAGCGUGACCCCCCACACUGGUACUGAGACACGGACCAGAUACCUGCGGGUAGCAGCAGCAAGGAAUAUUGCGCAAUCGACGCAAGUCGGACGCAGCAACACCGCGUGAAGGAUGAAGGCCUUCGGGUCGUAAACUUCUUUUCUGGGGGAAGAGAAAGGACGGUACCCCAGGAAUAAGUCUCGGCUAACUACGUGCCAGCAGCCGCGGUAAAACGUAGGAGGCGAGCGUUAUCCGGAUUUAUUGGGCGUAAAGCGCAUGCAGGCGGUUUAUUAAGUCGGACGUGAAAGCUCCUGGCUCAACCAGGAGAGGCCGUUCGAAACUAGUAGACUUGAGGAUGGUAGAGGUGAGUGGAAUUCCCGGUGUAGUGGUGAAAUGCGUAGAUAUCGGGAGGAACACCAGUGGCGAAGGCGGCUCACUGGGCCAUUCCUGACGCUCAGAUGCGAAAGCUAGGGGAGAGAACGGGAUUAGAAACCCCGGUAUUCCUAGCCGUAAACGAUGUCAACUGGGCGUAGGAGGUUAUUGACCCCUUCUGUGCUGUAGCUAACGCGUUAAGUUGACCGCCUGGGGACUACGGCCGCAAGGCAA
Molecule: ribosomal RNA, 852 nt
Filed under: uncultured bacterium
Lineage: Bacteria
Description: bacterial SSU rRNA
Rfam family: Bacterial small subunit ribosomal RNA
Source: RNAcentral